CAAUUCCGAGAUCUUCUCCUCGUUAACACCAGUCACCGAAUUCACACUCCCAUUCACAUUGACAUUCUUCAGUGAACUUGGGUUUUAUAGUCCAAUAAGCAUGAUGAUGAUCAGUGAGAGCGUUGGUUCAUAAGCUAUAUACAGGACGACAUGUCAAUUUAUUUUUCUAAUAAAUUGUUGACUCACACUGACACACUUUAGCACACGACAUUAACGCAUUCAAUUGUAAGAAUAACUCCUAUACAUAUAAAAUUUAUACAGCUCAACACCAUUAGGUGUCAUAUCAAAUUAAUUUUCUUCUCAUGUCUAAAAUAUGAAGAAGAAAAUGAUGAAAUAUACUCUAAUAUAUAAUAUAUAAGAUAAUUAUUCACCAACCACUUUUUUUUUCGCAUUAUUUUAAAAAUACAUAAGUUUUAAUUUUUUUGGCUGAACUCUACUUUAAAGUUAUAUUAUUUUACACCUGUCUACUUUCGUAUUCGAACUGUUAAGAGAACUAACGAAAUAUUGUAUAAAUAAUUUUUUUACCCUAAAUAUAAAAUUAUAUUUUUACUACAAACCGUGAAACAAAUUAAAAAGUAAAAAUAAUAAUAUAAAAGAGUUUUUCUUUUUUUUUAAUUUUUAUUUAAAGUCUCUCACUUUAAUAAUAAUAAUGACGACCCGCUAACCCCAACCUCCAACCCUACAACCAUACAAAACAAAAUCAAACCCAACUUUCACCUACCUUAAACACCAAAUAAAAAAUAAUAAUAAUAAACUCACUGAUUCUUUUAUGGCGGCAUAAGAAAAGACAAAGCAUCUGUAGCUUCUUAAGUUGUACAUAGGAAUAAGCUUCUAACUGUUCCUAGCAUUGCUGCCGAAGAACUCAUCGGAAGCGAAGGAGGAGCUAAAGGUGAGGCUAAGGGUGGCGGAGGAGCAACUGAAGCAAAUGAAGUCAAGGAGGAAAGAGGACUCAAAGGCUAACGCGGGGUGGUGGAGAUCUUCGUGAGCCAUAGCAGCAUGCGGCAGGCGGAGGAGAAACAACUGCUCCAGCAAAUCAAUGCGGCGACAGAGGAGAUGGCGAGCUUGAGAUCGAAGAUUGAGGAAUUGGAGAGGGAGAAGCUGCAGUUUGAUAAGAGAUUUCAAGAAUUGGAAGAUAUGAUCGGGUUUAUGUCAAGGAGAGGUUGUGAGUUUGAGGUGGAGCAACAGAUUCUAAACGUCAUUUUAAAGCGCAGGUGAAAUUAUCAUUUUAUCAUUACGACGUCAGUAAAGUUAUAACAGUUUGAAGAUAAAAAAGGUGCAAAAUAAUAUAAUUUUAAGUAGAGUUCAACAAAAAAAAUUAAAAAUUGUGUAUUUUUUAAAAAGUGCAGGUAGUUCGUGGAUAAUUAUCCUAAUAUAUAUGCCUAAAUGGGAGGAAUGUUAUGAGAACUGUCUUGGCUAGACAACAUAUUAGACUAUUAGCUAACACUAAUAUAACAUUCUAUUGAUGGUUUCCAAAUGAACAAUCUUCCCUCUAGAUUAAUGGUGCCGUGGUGCGUUUACUAAAUUAUAAUCAGAAUGUGUUGGAAUUAAAAUGAAGAAUGGACUGGAAUGAAAAUAAAAAUAAGUUAUUUACUUGGC
This 1596-nucleotide long non-coding RNA is filed under the name Citrus sinensis (sweet orange). Its description in RNAcentral is "long non-coding RNA (CSIN_LNC000729)". Lineage: Eukaryota; Viridiplantae; Streptophyta; Magnoliopsida; Sapindales; Rutaceae. The record is from RNAcentral.